AUUGAACGCUGGCGGCAUGCCUUACACAUGCAAGUCGAACGGCAGCGGGGGAGAAGCUUGCUUUUCCUGCCGGCGAGUGGCGAACGGGUGAGUAAUACAUCGGAACGUGCCCUGUAGUGGGGGAUAUCUAGUCGAAAGAUUAGCUAAUACCGCAUACGACCUGAGGGUGAAAGUGGGGGACCGCAAGGCCUCAUGCUAUAGGAGCGGCCGAUGCCUGAUUAGCUAGUUGGUGGGGUAAAGGCCUACCAAGGCGACGAUCAGUAGCUGGUCUGAGAGGACGAUCAGCCACACUGGGACUGAGACACGGCCCAGACUCCUACGGGAGUCAGCAGUGGGGAAUUUUGGACAAUGGGCGAAAGCCUGAUCCAGCAAUGCCGCGUGUGUGAAGAAGGCCUUCGGGUUGUAAAGCACUUUUGUCCGGAAAGAAAUGGCUCUGGUUAAUACCUGGGGUCGAUGACGGUACCGGAAGAAUAAGGACCGGCUAACUACGUGCCAGCAGCCGCAGUAA
This 508-nucleotide ribosomal RNA is filed under the name uncultured bacterium. Its description in RNAcentral is "partial 16S ribosomal RNA". It matches the Rfam family "Bacterial small subunit ribosomal RNA", at positions 30 to 523 of the family's 1533-position model. The record is from RNAcentral.